Molecule: ribosomal RNA, 406 nt
Filed under: uncultured microorganism
Description: bacterial SSU rRNA
Rfam family: Bacterial small subunit ribosomal RNA
Source: RNAcentral
GAGUUUGAUCGUGGCUCAGAGUGAACGCUGGCGGUAGGCCUAACACAUGCAAGUCGAACGGCAGCACAGAGGAGCUUGCUCCUUGGGUGGCGAGUGGCGGACGGGUGAGGAAUACAUCGGAAUCUACUCUGUCGUGGGGGAUAACGUAGGGAAACUUACGCUAAUACCGCAUACGACCUACGGGUGAAAGCAGGGGAUCUUCGGACCUUGCGCGAUUGAAUGAGCCGAUGUCGGAUUAGCUAGUUGGCGGGUAAAGGCCCACCAAGGCGACGAUCCGUAGCUGGUCUGAGAGGAUGAUCAGCCACACUGGAACUGAGACACGGUCCAGACUCCUACGGGAGGCAGCAGUGGGGAAUAUUGGACAAUGGGCGCAAAGCCUGAUCCAGCCAUACCGCGUGGUGAAGAA